UACUAUCUGUGUGCUCCUGGGCAAUUGUUUAACCUCUAGGAACCUCACUGAUAAAAUGAAAAUGAUAUCUACUUCUGUGGUUCUUAACCAACUCAAAACAUGAAAGGAAGAGGACUCCAAAGCCUCUGAGAUUGGCAGCAUCGAAAAAUGGGAGAAAACUGAGUUCCCGAAUCCUUGCCUGGCAGAAAGCCACCUACUGACUGAGACCAUUCUCGUUGGAUUAUUAUGCUUGGCACACUGGCAUCUGAAGAGAUGACAGAUACAAACAGGAGAUACAAAUAGGAGACGACACUUUUACCUCAACCACUACAGCCCCAGAAGGAACCCAAGGUGGCCCCCUGGACCUUUUCCUGAAGCAACAUGGGGAGAAGCAAGCUGUCUUCAGAGAGAUAUAAGUAUAGCUUUUAUUUUUUUUUUUUAAACCAACCCAACAUUUCCACUGGCAACUGUCAACAUAGCUUAUGACAUGAACACAGUUUCUUUUUCAGUUAUUUGUUUUCUUAAAAAAUGUGUUUAAAAUUAAACAGGUGUUUUUCAUUUCUUCUUUUCCCUUAAAAAAUGUAUUUAUGUCAAUGCAGAAAGCCUAAAGAUCUGUGGGCAGUCUUUCGGUGAUGAUGUGUGUGUUUUAAAGCCAGGUCCUUUCAAAAUUUGUUGGGAAAAGGUCUGUAGGGCAUGGCAAUCUCUCUAUAAAUCCAGGCUCCAUGGAAUUAUGGCAGCUAAGAUUCCUCCUACUGGGGCAAGAAAUAGCCCACAGGCUGGAAAAAAGAGCUUCAAGAGGUUUAAAACCAAGCAGGAAUGUGGGAGAGAUGAGGAAUUCUAAUCCCUGUCCUGUGAAAAUGCUUUCAAACAUGACCCGAGUCCAGGAGACAUGAAGUCCCUCAUUUUCUUAUAAACUUCUAAGUUUUUGCAGGAAAUCAAGAAAUACAGUCAAAGCUCUUAGUCUGGUGCAUUAGGAAGUGAGGGAGUGGUGAAGCUGACAUCUCUCAGAAUCAGACAUUUUCAAUAUAAUCUUUUCCCGACAGAUCCCACUAGGUGGACAUCGCUUCUCUCCUGCCUCAGAUACAAAGCCAGAGAUGU
RNAcentral lists this long non-coding RNA (1077 nucleotides) under Bos taurus (domestic cattle). Its description in RNAcentral is "long non-coding RNA NONBTAT002731". The record is from RNAcentral. Lineage: Eukaryota; Metazoa; Chordata; Mammalia; Artiodactyla; Bovidae.